Molecule: small RNA, 26 nt
Filed under: Bombyx mori (domestic silkworm)
Lineage: Eukaryota; Metazoa; Arthropoda; Insecta; Lepidoptera; Bombycidae
Description: ovarian small RNA-14643
Source: RNAcentral
CUAUAUCAUAAUGGGCGACUUCAAUG